RNAcentral lists this ribosomal RNA (705 nucleotides) under uncultured Oscillospiraceae bacterium. RNAcentral describes it as "bacterial SSU rRNA". It matches the Rfam family "Bacterial small subunit ribosomal RNA", at positions 121 to 843 of the family's 1533-position model. Lineage: Bacteria; Bacillati; Bacillota; Clostridia; Eubacteriales; Oscillospiraceae. The record is from RNAcentral.
GCAACCUGCCUUUCAGAGGGGGAUAACGUCUUGAAAAGGACGCUAAUACCGCAUGAUAUUAUGGAGCCACAUGGCUCUAUAAUCAAAGGAGCAAUCCGCUGAAAGAUGGGCUCGCGUCCGAUUAGGUAGUUGGCGGGAUAACAGCCCACCAAGCCGACGAUCGGUAGCCGGACUGAGAGGUUGAACGGCCACAUUGGGACUGAGACACGGCCCAGACUCCUACGGGAGGCAGCAGUGAGGGAUAUUGGUCAAUGGGGGAAACCCUGAACCAGCAACGCCGCGUGAGGGAUGACGGCCUUCGGGUUGUAAACCUCUGUCCUCUGUGAAGAUAAUGACGGUAGCAGAGGAGGAAGCUCCGGCUAACUACGUGCCAGCAGCCGCGGUAAUACGUAGGGAGCAAGCGUUGUCCGGAUUUACUGGGUGUAAAGGGUGCGUAGGCGGUUUGGUAAGUCAGAAGUGAAAUCCAUGGGCUUAACCCAUGAACUGCUUUUGAAACUAUCGAACUUGAGUGAAGUAGAGGUAGGCGGAAUUCCCGGUGUAGCGGUGAAAUGCGUAGAGAUCGGGAGGAACACCAGUGGCGAAGGCGGCCUACUGGGCUUUAACUGACGCUGAGGCACGAAAGCAUGGGUAGCAAACAGGAUUAGAUACCCUGGUAGUCCAUGCCGUAGACGAUGAUGACUAGGUGUGGGGGGUCUGACCCCUCCG